GAAAGAGGUGGAAGGCAAAAGCAAAAGAUGAUUUAUGACAACACUAGGAUGAUGGGUAGCAAGAUCUGUAGAUACCAAAUCAAAUAGGAAACCAGAAUCUAAUAUGGCCCCUAGGCCCUACUACUAACUGCUUCUUCAUCUCAUUGUUCUGAAUACCACUUGAGGCAAGUCAAUCUACCAAAGUACAUUUCUGAUACCACAAUAA
This 205-nucleotide unclassified non-coding RNA is filed under the name Hevea brasiliensis (rubber tree). The record is from RNAcentral. Lineage: Eukaryota; Viridiplantae; Streptophyta; Magnoliopsida; Malpighiales; Euphorbiaceae.